Molecule: ribosomal RNA, 278 nt
Filed under: uncultured bacterium
Lineage: Bacteria
Description: partial 16S ribosomal RNA
Rfam family: Bacterial small subunit ribosomal RNA
Source: RNAcentral
AUUGAACGCUGGCGGCAUGCCUUACACAUGCAAGUCGAACGGCAGCACGGGAGCAAUCCUGGUGGCGAGUGGCGAACGGGUGAGUAAUAUAUCGGAACGUGCCCAGUCGUGGGGAUAACGUAGUGAAAGCUACGCUAAUACCGCAUACGAUCUAUGGAUGAAAGCGGGGGAUCGCAAGACCUCGCGCGAUUGGAGCGGCCGAUAUCAGAUUAGGUAGUUGGUGAGGUAAGGGCUCACCAAGCCGACGAUCUGUAGCUGGUCUGAGAGGACGACCAGCC